Psammomys obesus (fat sand rat) is the source of this 740-nucleotide long non-coding RNA. RefSeq lists it as uncharacterized. The record is from RefSeq and is a predicted model, not a curated record. NCBI's taxonomy places the organism in Eukaryota, Metazoa, Chordata, Mammalia, Rodentia, Muridae. The transcript has 3 exons.
GUUUAGUCAGCUCUCUGCAUCUGCCAGUUCCAAAUGCCGAGAGUUAACCAACCCUAAACAGCAGAUAUUCAAGAAAAACCCUGGGUCCAUCCUAAACGUGAACAGAGCUCCUCGCCGCUGCUCCCUUCGCAGAGCAGAGCCAGUGCAGAUGAGCACUGAGCCAGCAGCGACCACGAGUUCAGGGCCCAGACUAGGGAAUGGUGCUGCCCACAGUGGGCUGGAUCCUCCUACAUCAAUCAGCAAUCUAGACAACUCGCCCAGAUGUGCCUACAGAUGAACUGAACUAGAUAAUUUCUCACUGAGAUUCUCUCUUCCCAGGUGAGUCAACAGUUGGAACUAACCAGCACACCGCCUUAGGACACAGUACCACCAUCUAAAUUAAAUCUCAUCCGUUACUAACAGAUGCCUAACCCUGGAGGCUGGGGGUUAAGUCUGUUUCCAUCCACACUGCCAUCGCCCAGGUCCAGGGAAGGAGGACACUGUAGAAAGCUGGGAGGACCACGAUGGUCACAUUUACAAUGGGUGUUAUGCCUGCAUUUGUGCCUGCACACCAGAAAAAGGACCAGAUCUCAUUAAGGAUGGCUGUGAGCCACCAUGUGGUUGCUGGGAGCUGAACUCAGGACCUUUCGAAGAACAGCCAGUGUUCUUAACCUCUGAGCCAUCUCUCCAGUCCCACAUUUACAGAUUUUGUUCUUUGUUAUGAUAAUUUUCUCCAAGGGCAUAAAUAGAAAUUUCAACAA